This is a long non-coding RNA of Herpailurus yagouaroundi (jaguarundi), 289 nucleotides long. RefSeq lists it as uncharacterized. NCBI's taxonomy places the organism in Eukaryota, Metazoa, Chordata, Mammalia, Carnivora, Felidae. The record is from RefSeq and is a predicted model, not a curated record. The transcript is spliced from 2 exons.
UGUCCUCUGUCUCUCUCUCUCAGAAAUAUACCUUUAAAAUUUUUAAAUUAGAGUCUGAAUCAAAGUAAUCACUUGUCAAAAUUUAUUUGCAAAGUAAUUACUAUACACAAGUCUCCUUAAAGCUUAUUAUUUAUGCAUCCUGUUCUGAAAGUGCAUGUAAAUAAUUCUGGUAGGAACUUGUUUUACAUCCUACUGGCAGGAAGAACUUCUUAGGUUGUUUUCUAGCAAGAUCCUGCCAGCAAGAAUACCUACCCAGUCUAAAUCUUCAAUAAACCCUGUUUGAGCUAGA